This 86-nucleotide microRNA precursor is filed under the name Leersia perrieri. Its description in RNAcentral is "pre miRNA mir-395". It matches the Rfam family "mir-395 microRNA precursor family". From Rfam's summary of the family: mir-395 was identified in both Arabidopsis thaliana and Oryza sativa computationally and was later experimentally verified. mir-395 is thought to target mRNAs coding for ATP sulphurylases. The mature sequence is excised from the 3' arm of the hairpin. The record is from Rfam by way of RNAcentral. Lineage: Eukaryota; Viridiplantae; Streptophyta; Magnoliopsida; Poales; Poaceae.
GAUCCCCCGGGAGUUCCCGACAAGCACUUCACGACACACUAAUUUAAGAGUUGUUGUGAAGUGUUUGGGGGAACUCUUGGUGUCAC